This 353-nucleotide unclassified non-coding RNA is filed under the name Hevea brasiliensis (rubber tree). The record is from RNAcentral. Lineage: Eukaryota; Viridiplantae; Streptophyta; Magnoliopsida; Malpighiales; Euphorbiaceae.
GGGAACACAAACUACUUUGGCGAACGUUAGAAAAAGACAAUAUGUUUUGUCUACGUUACGCCUGUUUCUAGUUAAAAAUAAUAUCAACUACGGUGAUACCGAUACGUGAAGGAAACGAAAGGGAAGUAAAAAAGAUGUGCGAUCUGGUAAGAAAGGCAUAGAUCAGGUGCGCAUUGAACACCAAAGCGCACUUUAGAGAGAAGCCAAUAUUAGUUGACGAAUAUGAUGAAGCGGAGACAGAAAUACGUACCACAUCUGUGCCUGCUGGUGCUGGAGAGAUUGAACCCAAACUGGGCGUGGGUGCCUCCGUGGGUGGCGCUGGUGGACUUGGCGCCAAGGGAGAUGGAGCUGGA